RNAcentral lists this ribosomal RNA (1457 nucleotides) under metagenome. Its description in RNAcentral is "bacterial SSU rRNA". It matches the Rfam family "Bacterial small subunit ribosomal RNA". The record is from RNAcentral.
GUUUGAUCCUGGCUCAGAUUGAACGCUAGCGGCAUGCCUUACACAUGCAAGUCGAACGGCAGCACGGGAGCUUGCUCCUGGUGGCGAGUGGCGAACGGGUGAGUAAUAUAUCGGAACGUACCCUAGAGUGGGGGAUAACGUAGCGAAAGUUACGCUAAUACCGCAUACGAUCUACGGAUGAAAGUGGGGGAUCGCAAGACCUCAUGCUCAUGGAGCGGCCGAUAUCUGAUUAGCUAGUUGGUGGGGUAAAAGCUCACCAAGGCGACGAUCAGUAGCUGGUCUGAGAGGACGACCAGCCACACUGGAACUGAGACACGGUCCAGACUCCUACGGGAGGCAGCAGUGGGGAAUUUUGGACAAUGGGCGCAAGCCUGAUCCAGCAAUGCCGCGUGAGUGAAGAAGGCCUUCGGGUUGUAAAGCUCUUUUGUCAGGGAAGAAACGGUUCGGGCUAAUAUCCUGGGCUAAUGACGGUACCUGAAGAAUAAGCACCGGCUAACUACGUGCCAGCAGCCGCGGUAAUACGUAGGGUGCAAGCGUUAAUCGGAAUUACUGGGCGUAAAGCGUGCGCAGGCGGUUGUGCAAGACAGAUGUGAAAUCCCCGGGCUCAACCUGGGAAUUGCAUUUGUGACUGCACGGCUAGAGUGUGUCAGAGGGGGGUAGAAUUCCACGUGUAGCAGUGAAAUGCGUAGAGAUGUGGAGGAAUACCGAUGGCGAAGGCAGCCCCCUGGGAUAACACUGACGCUCAUGCACGAAAGCGUGGGGAGCAAACAGGAUUAGAUACCCUGGUAGUCCACGCCCUAAACGAUGUCUACUAGUUGUCGGGUCUUAAUUGACUUGGUAACGCAGCUAACGCGUGAAGUAGACCGCCUGGGGAGUACGGUCGCAAGAUUAAAACUCAAAGGAAUUGACGGGGACCCGCACAAGCGGUGGAUGAUGUGGAUUAAUUCGAUGCAACGCGAAAAACCUUACCUACCCUUGACAUGUCUGGAAUCCUUGAGAGAUCAGGGAGUGCUCGAAAGAGAAUCAGAACACAGGUGCUGCAUGGCUGUCGUCAGCUCGUGUCGUGAGAUGUUGGGUUAAGUCCCGCAACGAGCGCAACCCUUGUCAUUAGUUGCUACGAAAGGGCACUCUAAUGAGACUGCCGGUGACAAACCGGAGGAAGGUGGGGAUGACGUCAAGUCCUCAUGGCCCUUAUGGGUAGGGCUUCACACGUCAUACAAUGGUACAUACAGAGGGCCGCCAACCCGCGAGGGGGAGCUAAUCCCAGAAAGUGUAUCGUAGUCCGGAUUGUAGUCUGCAACUCGACUACAUGAAGUUGGAAUCGCUAGUAAUCGCGGAUCAGCAUGUCGCGGUGAAUACGUUCCCGGGUCUUGUACACACCGCCCGUCACACCAUGGGAGCGGGUUUCACCAGAAGUGGGUAGCCUAACCGCAAGGAGGGCGCUCACCACGGUGGGA